AGGUGUUCCCACCUCUCCCACCAAAGGUCUUCCCACCAAAGGUCUUCCCACCAAAGCCUUUUCCUCCACCACUUCCAGUCUACAAGAAGCCACUCCCACCUCCAGUUCCAAUCUACAAGCCAGAGCCAAAACCACCAGUCUUCAAGCCUCCUCCGGUCCCAAUCUACAAGAAGCCACUCCCACCUCCAGUUCCAAUCUACAAGCCAGAGCCAAAACCACCAGUCUUCAAGCCUCCUCCGGUCCCAAUCUACAAGCCAAAACCACCAGUCUUCAAGCCUCCUCCGAUCCCAAUCUACAAGAAGCCACUCCCACCUCCAGUUCCAAUCUACAAGCCAGAGCCAAAACCACCAGUCUUCAAGCCUCCUCCGGUCCCAAUCUACAAGAAGCCACUCCCACCUCCAGUUCCAAUCUACAAGCCAGAGCCAAAACCACCAGUUUUCAAGCCUCCUCCGGUCCCAAUCUACAAGCCAAAACCACCAGUCUUCAAGCCUCCUCCGGUCCCAAUCUAUAAGAAGCCACUCCCACCUCCAGUUCCAAUCUACAAGCCAGAGCCAAAACCACCAGUUUUCAAGCCUCCUCCGGUCCCAAUCUACAAGCCAAAACCACCAGUCUUCAAACCCCCUCCUGUUCCAGUCUACAAACCAAAGCCAAAACCACCAAUCUACAAGCCUCUCCCACCUCCUGUUCCCAUCUCCAAGCCUCUCCCUCCAAUCCCAAAGAUCCCUCCAUUUUAUAAGAAGCCAUUGCCCCCUCUUCCUAAGCUUCCCCCUCACCCCAAGAUUCCCCCAAUCUACAAGCCUAAACCACCAGUCUUCAAGCCCCCUCCCGUUCCAAUCUACAAACCAGAGCCAAAACCACCAAUCUACAAGCCUCUACCACCUCCCGUUCCCAUCUAUAAGCCUCUCCCUCCAAUCCCAAAGAUCCCUCCAUUUUACAAGAAGCCAUGCCCCCCUCUUCCUAAGCUUCCUCCUCUUCCUAAGCUUCCUC
This 987-nucleotide long non-coding RNA is filed under the name Populus trichocarpa (black cottonwood). RNAcentral describes it as "long non-coding RNA (PTRI_LNC001288)". The record is from RNAcentral. Lineage: Eukaryota; Viridiplantae; Streptophyta; Magnoliopsida; Malpighiales; Salicaceae.